This 459-nucleotide ribosomal RNA is filed under the name uncultured bacterium. Its description in RNAcentral is "partial 16S ribosomal RNA". It matches the Rfam family "Bacterial small subunit ribosomal RNA", at positions 338 to 795 of the family's 1533-position model. The record is from RNAcentral.
CCUACGGGAGGCAGCAGUGAGGAAUAUUGGUCAAUGGCCGAGAGGCUGAACCAGCCAAGUCGCGUGAGGGAAGACGGCCCUACGGGUUGUAAACCUCUUUUGUCGGGGAGCAAAGAGAGUCACGUGUGACUCAUUGAGAGUACCCGAAGAAAAAGCAUCGGCUAACUCCGUGCCAGCAGGCGCGGUAAUACGGGGGAUGGGAGCGUUAUCGGGAUUUAUUGGGUUGAACGGGAGCGCAGCGGGAGGUGCAAGUCAGCGGUAAAAUUGCGGGGCGCAACCCCGUACUGCCGUUGAAACUGCAUCCCUUGAGUGCGCGAGAAGUAUGCGGAAUGCGUGGUGUAGCGGUGAAAUGCAUAGAUAUCACGAAGAACUCCGAUUGCGAAGGCGGCAUACCGGCGCGCAACUGACGCUCAUGCACGAAAGCGUGGGUAUCGAACAGGAUUAGAUACCCCAGUAGUC